This is a long non-coding RNA of Lathyrus oleraceus (garden pea), 879 nucleotides long. RefSeq lists it as uncharacterized. The record is from RefSeq and is a predicted model, not a curated record. The transcript has 2 exons. NCBI's taxonomy places the organism in Eukaryota, Viridiplantae, Streptophyta, Magnoliopsida, Fabales, Fabaceae.
CCUGAAGCCAAAAUGCAAUGGAUAUGAGCUAAAUCAAAAAAAGCGCUUAUUGUAAACAAGCUGCAAAGAUACACAUCCCACUAAAAACGCUUAUGCCAAAAAAAGUCAGAGCACACAUCGCGAUUUUUCCCGGCAUCGCGUUCUCCACCUUCCGGCUUUGCGUUUUGAAGCUUGGUCAACCAUCAUCGUGGAUUCGCGUUCAACCUUCGGCGCGUUUGGAAUCAUUGCGUUUUCAAUGAUACGUCACGACGAAACAACGGCGAACACGAGGGAUUCAAAAUCCAAAUGCAAAAUCACGUCAACCUCGAAUCGUGACAAUUUCUACGCGUGCGGAAUGAAAAUGGAAAGAAGACUAUGAAGACUCACCGAAUCGGAAUGUGUAUCGAUUUCUCCGAAUUGCUCCCUUUUCUUCUGUUCUCUUGAUUUCAAUCUCUGCUCCUUCUUCUUCUAAACUGCUUUUGUUAUCGAUUUUGCGAAGUUGCGUGAAUUGUUGAAAAUCUCUGUGAUUGUGUGUUGUAAAUUGUUGUGAAUGCAUAGUGGAUGAGAUUCAGAGAUGCUUGGUGUAGAAUGAAGUGAUGGCAAAAUAGAGAAUUUGGAAAAUUUGCAGAAUGAAGAAAUUGUAUAUUGAAGGAGUUUUCAUAAUGAAGUAUCUGUUCAAUGAAGAUAGAUUCUUUAAAGUUUGCCAAAGACUUGGUGACUGGUUUUGUGCUUGGACCUAUGGUGAGUGGCAAGGAAUUGUCGAAUUGGACUCAUGAAAUACAUGGAAGUUGUUUUGUUUUUGACCUUGUUAUUGUAAUGUAUUUGAAAUAUUGUAACGUUAUGUAGAAUAUUGGGACUUGUAAUAUAACUUUGGAAUUAAAAAUGAAAAUGGUUGUGUAA